GACGAACGCUGGCGGCGUGCUUAACACAUGCAAGUCGAACGGAAAGGCCCUGCUUUUGUGGGGUGCUCGAGUGGCGAACGGGUGAGUAACACGUGAGUAACCUGCCCUUGACUUUGGGAUAACUUCAGGAAACUGGGGCUAAUACCGGAUAGGAGCUCCUGCUGCAUGGUGGGGGUUGGAAAGUUUCGGCGGUUGGGGAUGGACUCGCGGCUUAUCAGCUUGUUGGUGGGGUAGUGGCUUACCAAGGCUUUGACGGGUAGCCGGCCUGAGAGGGUGACCGGCCACAUUGGGACUGAGAUACGGCCCAGACUCCUACGGGAGGCAGCAGUGGGGAAUAUCGCACAAUGGGCGGAAGCCUGAUGCAGCAACGCCGCGUGCGGGAUGACGGCCUUCGGGUUGUAAACCGCUUUCGCCUGUGACGAAGCGUGAGUGACGAUAAUGGGUAAAGAAGCACCGGCUAACUACGUG
This 468-nucleotide ribosomal RNA is filed under the name uncultured bacterium. Its description in RNAcentral is "partial 16S ribosomal RNA". It matches the Rfam family "Bacterial small subunit ribosomal RNA", at positions 28 to 507 of the family's 1533-position model. The record is from RNAcentral.